UAAAAUACGAUGAAAAGAAGAGUACUAUUUUUAUAAAAUUGAUGAGAGAGUCUCAGCUGCUGAAAAGAGAUAAUUUUAGAAAAUAGGAAGAUGGUCUUUGAGUAGAUAUUGAUCAACACUUGUAUAGUCAAUAUUGGGAACGCCCAUUACAGCGUAACGGUAUAGAUCGACAUGAUCCGUACCUAUAGAGGGAAAUCUCGUGAGGGAUUUUCAAUUAAAGGUGGUAACACGAUCAAUCGUCCUUUAC
This 247-nucleotide non-coding RNA is filed under the name Enterococcus haemoperoxidus. RNAcentral describes it as "T-box sequence". It matches the Rfam family "T-box leader". From Rfam's summary of the family: Uncharged tRNA acts as the effector for transcription antitermination of genes in the T-box leader family. T-boxes are found upstream of many aminoacyl-tRNA synthetase genes and some amino acid biosynthetic genes usually in Gram-positive bacteria. Lineage: Bacteria; Bacillati; Bacillota; Bacilli; Lactobacillales; Enterococcaceae. The record is from RNAcentral.